CGCUGGCGGCACGCCUAACACAUGCAAGUCGAACGGACGAGGAGGAAGCUUGCUUCUUCCGAGUAGUGGCGGACGGGUGAGUAACACGUGAGCAACCUGCCUUAAGAGGGGAUAGCUUCUGGAAACGGAUGGUAAUACCCCAUAACAUAUGCGGAUGGCAUCUUCUGCAUAUCAAAGAUUUAUCGCUUAGAGAUGGGCUCGCGUCUGAUUAGAUAGUUGGUGGGGUAACGGCCCACCAAGCCUUCGAUGGAUAGGGGUUCUGAGAGGAAGGUCCCCCACACUGGAACUGAGACACGGUCCAGACUCCUACGGGAGGCAGCAGUGAGGAAUAUUGGUCAAUGGGCGAGAGCCUGAACCAGCCAAGUAGCGUGAAGGAAGACUGCCCUAUGGGUUGUAAACUUCUUUUGUUCGGGAAUAAAGUUCAGUAUGUAUACUGUUUUGUAUGUACCGUUCGAAUAAGCAUCGGCUAAUUCCGUG
This 477-nucleotide ribosomal RNA is filed under the name uncultured bacterium. RNAcentral describes it as "bacterial SSU rRNA". It matches the Rfam family "Bacterial small subunit ribosomal RNA", at positions 34 to 507 of the family's 1533-position model. The record is from RNAcentral.